Molecule: transfer RNA, 72 nt
Filed under: Trametes hirsuta
Lineage: Eukaryota; Fungi; Basidiomycota; Agaricomycetes; Polyporales; Polyporaceae
Also listed under: 1 other name
Description: tRNA-Ile
Rfam family: tRNA
About the family: Transfer RNA (tRNA) molecules are approximately 80 nucleotides in length. Their secondary structure includes four short double-helical elements and three loops (D, anti-codon, and T loops).
Source: RNAcentral
AAACCUAUAAUUUAAAGGUAGAAUAAUUUCUUGAUAAGGAAAUUUGUAGAAGUUCGAUUCUUCUUAGGUCUC